Meleagris gallopavo (turkey) is the source of this 1737-nucleotide long non-coding RNA. The record is from Ensembl. Lineage: Eukaryota; Metazoa; Chordata; Aves; Galliformes; Phasianidae.
UGAUGCCGGCGGCGGCGGCGCGCGGUGCUUCGGGGGGCCCGAGUGCUCGGGGCUGAGCGCAGCAGGGACGGCUGUGGGUGGCAGCUGAUCUCGGGGUGAUGGGAAUGUCCGUCCUGCGGGAUGCGCUCACACACGCCUCUUUCCUCGCAGCUGAGUGCUGGUCCGCUGAGGAGCUCCUCCCCGCAGGGUCCGGGGAUGGAGCAGCGCUUGGGCAAGAUGUCCUCGAAGCAGUUCUGCAGGAGGGCGCGCCGGGAGCCCUAUCUGCGUCAGGCUGGGCCAUCGCCUCCACGUGCUCAUGGCCCCCGGGAUGCCUGGCGCAAUCCUCCAUGGGAGCAGCAGCACCGAAGAGCUGGGGGAAGAAUGCGUCUGCCCAGUCCCAGGCAGCCCAGGCCUUUCCCUGGCCCUGCUGACAUCCUCCACAAUGAGAAUUGGAGAGGGGCACCCCGAGACCGUGAUGUGCCACCACAUCCCUCAGACUACAGAGAGGACCAGCAGAGCCGUGAGCCCAAUGAGGACUCGCUGAGGACCUCCUCCCCACAGGGAUCAAGGCUGGAGCAACGCUUUGGCAAGAUGUCCUCGAAGCAGUUCUGCAGGAGAGGGCCCCGGGCCUUUAGCUGGGGGCCCUAUCUGCGUCAGGCUGGGCCAUCGCCUCCACGUGCUCAUGGCCCCCGGGAUGCCUGGCGCAAUCCUCCAUGGGAGCAGCAGCACCGAAGAGCUGGGGGAAGAAUGCGUCUGCCCGGUGCCAGGCAGCCCAGGCCUUUCCCUGGCCCUGCUAACAUCCACCAGUACGAGGAGAAUUGGAGAUGGGCCCCCCAGAACCGUGAUGUGCCACCACCUCCCUGGAUGUACAGAGAGGACCAUCAGAGCCAUGAGAUACCACAGCUGCGUCACCGGGACUUCUUUGCCCAGCCUGAGUUCCCCAGCCAGGAGCAGCGUCCUGCUGGAUUCCCUCGGGAGCAAGAAGACAACUGCUCACCCCAGCGCCAUUGUGGCCCACGCCGGAGACGCUGCCGACUCCUUCGGCCCAUCCAGCAGGAGACAGCAGACAACAGCUGUUCUCCCCACAGCUCCCAAGGGUACCAUCCAUCCUCCAAGCCCUCUCAGUCCUGCUCCCCAGAGAGCCAGCUGGGGCUCAGAGAGCAUCUCGCUGCUCCCCAGUCACCUGCUGCCUGCAAAAACAGUCUGCAAAGCGCGCAGCAGGUGGAUGAGGGCCAGCGGGUGGCAAGCAGUGAGGCACUGGAACGGCCCAGGCGUGCAGAGAAGAGCUCAGAGAAGAGCCCGGGCACUGACCCCCAGGCAGCGGAGCAGAAGCCAGCGGCAGGAGCAAAGCCAGUUGGGCCUGAAGGAGGAGAGGGAGCUGCAGGCAACCAGCAGCUCUCUGCCCUGGAGUUGGAGCCGGUCUCCUCGGAGACAACCAGCACCAGCGAGGAGGAAGGCUUGGAGCUGGCUGCAGGCUUCCAGAGCUCACCCCGCCCCCUGCGCUCCGCACUUUCCCCCACCAGCACAGACCUGCGCUCUGCUGCCAUCCUCACCAAGAAGGAGAGCAUCGAGCAGGGGUACCACGACUUCUGCCUCAGCUUUGCCCUGGUGUCCUCGCUGCUGCUGCAGAAGGAGCCCUCCAUGGAGGCGAUGCUGAUGAAGGCACUGAGAGCCAACCUGUGCGACCUCCGCAACCGCCUCCUGGAUGAGAUGGAGGACUUCAUCCAGCAGUACGAUGCGACGCACCCCAGCUGCUGA